AAACAGAGCAAACUAAGGUCAUAUGCUUGGCGUUAAGACCCUGACUAUUCUAACAUUUAUGUCAUUUUACACUCAAAAAAUUGUAUUUGAUCCAGCUAGUGCUUGGCUUCAGGAAGCUAAUAUCUUCAGAACUGAGAAAACGGUGUAAAUGCCUUCAUGGGCUAGUAAGAUCACUAUUUCUAAAUUAAGAACAUUUUUUAUUUCUAAAUGCUUGUCUUAUGAGGGAGAUAUAAGGUGUAGUCUACAUAAUACUUUCCUCCUUCUUUCCUCCAAAAAGAAUUAAUUUUUUUUUUUUUUUUUUUUUUUUGUCGUCUGUUUUGAAUCAGAUUCAGAACUAACGAUGUCCGAUUCGCGAACGAAUCACUCUUUUGAGUCGAAUUGGGAAUACCAUAACGAUCUGAAUCGGUUCGCGAUUCUGUCUGAAUAAUUUAUAUACAGUGACGUACUAGAAUCUGUAGAGUGGUUUCUCACUUCGAAGUAGCGUGAUACUUUUGGACACAGAGGACAAAGAGAUGGCAGAAUGAACUGAAUAUGUACCCACAAUUAGUUAAAAUAAACUUGCAAAAGCAUCCUGUCGUCAGCGUCGAAGAAGCUUCGACACACGUGCAGCUUGUUAACGCCCCUGCGCUGCAGGUUUUUCUACACGGAUCAAUAUCAGAGCAGCGUGCGCUGAGAAGGAAACGCCAUCCAAGCACUGCAGGACGCUGACCUUUCACUCUCCCUACAGGUCACACCAUCCUCCCCUAAACAGGUCAACACACCAACACACAACUAUGUCAAAGUAUGCCUUAACAGAGAAUGUAUCCAGCGGAUACUAACACAAGCCAAGGAAUGGGCGAUUCAAUCAAAAGCCGAAAACGCAAGAAAACAUAUACCCAGCAGCCCAUAGGCAUCUGCGCAUUAAUAAUCAGUGUUCUGGUGAUUUCUAAACAAACCGACUGGCUUCUUGGGAGUGGCCUUAAGUUGUAUUUCCUGUGAAUAAAAUAUGUAGGAUAUAUAUUAUGUUCAUGUGCCCAUCUCAAAAUACACUGUGGCACCGGGUGGUGAUUUUACAGCCUAUCCCUUCCCCCAUGCUUUACACAAAUGAAUAUUAAUCUGAUCCUUCACUGUAUAAAGUUCUACACACUGCACUGGAGAUUUAACACAGUGACACGGAUGCGAUCGCUCAAAGUCUCAAGAACCUCCAGUCUAUUAAUUACUUAUGCUGAAGAUUCGUGCUGUCACUGAUAUCAUCAUACACGAAUAAUAGCCUGCGACAAUAUUCAUUAACGUUGCUGCUUGUCAAAUGUGCGUUUACAAUUAUUUUAUUUUAUUCCGCUUUUAUUGGGUUUAUUCAUCAUCUGCGCACACGGAAUUAAAUAGAAAACCCGGCUUACAGUCGAGCGAACAAGUCGCAGGAACUGCCAGUCACCUCUUAAUUCAGCAGGAUUUUUUAUAUAUAUAUAGAGAGCUUGUCAAGAGUGCCAGAGUCAAGUUCAAGUUCACGGCCACUUGAUUUCAAACUCCAUUUUAUCCCAAGUGUGGAGGGAAGGGCGACUGCGGCAUUAAAUUGCGGCAUUAAUCCAAAAUUAAACAAGGCUACUCUAAUAGUGAAGAAAAACUUUAUAUUAUUGGUACUGAGAUUAUGGACAGUUUUCCCGUGUAUCUAUUUUCUUCGUACUGCACUCAGUAUGCCUGUGCAUUGCUGCGAAAGCUCUAUUAAAAUGUUUCUGUCUUUUUUUCUUUUAAAAUGCUGAAAUAUCAGUUCUAGUGGUCAUUGGUGUUUGAAACGCCGAGAUGUUUAUGGAAAGAUAAUUCUGCCUAGUAACACAACAGCUAAAUGCUUCUUCUGACCACUGUCAAAUUUCUGUUUUAAAGUCUGUUUAGACUACACAGAAAGAUGGCCUAAAAGUUGUCAAAGUUUAUAAGCUAUAGAAAGCAUGGAAGGAACACGACGCGUUGUAAAGAUUGUACACUUGCACCACGUUUUAUUAUAUCUGUAUGCAGUAAAAUUUUUAUCACAAUAAUGGAGAAAACACUUCUCAAACUUUGAACAAAACACAUAUAACAAAACAACUGCCCCUGUUCAGCCCAUAAUUGUACAUAUUUAUAGUAAAGAAACAUUCUUUAUAAAUAUUGUUUCAUCUGUAGCAAGUAAAUACCAUAAUUUAAUUACAAAUGGAUAAAUAUGGCAGUCGAUAUUUACAAAAAGAAGGGUGUAGUUACAGAUAUUUAACGGCACGACAUUAAUUUGCCCCACAAUCUUCCAAAUAUAUUUCACAAUUCAAACUUGCAAAGCACAAAACAUCACAAGUUAAGCCCAGCAAACUAAGAUAUACAUUCACAAGCAAAUAUUGUGUCUGUCUUCGUUAAAUGUUGACUUUGGCACUCUUUCCAGUUAAUAGUUGUUUAGUUUACAAUCAGUUUGCCUUAAUGGGAUCACAAUAUUCAUUAUGAUAAUACAACUUUAUGGUAAUAUGUGCACUAAAAAGUCCAGUUAGAGAAAUAGCUACCAUUGAA
Molecule: long non-coding RNA, 2499 nt
Organism: Megalobrama amblycephala (Wuchang bream)
Lineage: Eukaryota; Metazoa; Chordata; Actinopteri; Cypriniformes; Xenocyprididae
Exons: 2
Source: RefSeq, a predicted model, not a curated record